CACCGAAAUAUUUUGUAUUUGACGUCAUAAAUCUAAUGUACGUCAUUGUAAGUACAGCUAAUGUAUUAGCGCACGUACAUAUAAAAAACCGGGAGCCCAGUAAAAUAGUCACAAACAUUGAGACAGUUGUCAGCGACACACUUCAAAUAAUAAUAACAAUUAUUUAAACUUUGUUUGACACUCGAUCUACUUGAAAUAAUAUCGAUUGAAACAUCUGAGUAAAAUAAUUCUUAUUCAAAAUGCCGAUUGUUUCAAAAUUUUUAUUAUUAAUUACCAUCCUUAUGAUAAUAACAACAUACACAAUGGCAGUGCCUGCAUUUGGAAAUAUGUGGGGAGGCGCAUGGAGUGGGACCCGUUCUAAAAAAAGCUGAUUCUAUUUUCUACAACAACAAAAUUUAAAAAAUUUAGGAAUAUUCCUAAGUGCGCACCUCAAUCGCUUAUUUUAUUUUUAAUUAUUAAUUAUACUUUAUAAUAUUAAUUUACUUUUUAUUAUUUAUUAUGAACUUUUAUUAAACUUAUAAAUUAUCAA
Molecule: long non-coding RNA, 529 nt
Organism: Microplitis demolitor
Lineage: Eukaryota; Metazoa; Arthropoda; Insecta; Hymenoptera; Braconidae
Exons: 2
Source: RefSeq, a predicted model, not a curated record